GACGAACGCUGGCGGCGUGCCUAAUACAUGCAAGUCGAACGCUGAAGAGAGGAGCUUGCUCUUCUUGGAUGAGUUGCGAACGGGUGAGUAACGCGUAGGUAACCUGCCUUGUAGCGGGGGAUAACUAUUGGAAACGAUAGCUAAUACCGCAUAACAAUGGAUGACACAUGUCAUUUAUUUGAAAGGGGCAAUUGUUCCACUACAAGAUGGACCUGCGUUGUAUUAGCUAGUAGGUGAGGUAAUGGCUCACCUAGGCGACGAUACAUAGCCGACCUGAGAGGGUGAUCGGCCACACUGGGACUGAGACACGGCCCAGACUCCUACGGGAGGCAGCAGUAGGGAAUCUUCGGCAAUAGGGGCAACCCUGACCGAGCAACGCCGCGUGAGUGAAGAAGGUUUUCGGAUCGUAAAGCUCUGUUGUAAGUCAAGAACGGGUGUGAGAGUGGAAAGUUCACACUGUGACGGUAGCUGACCAGAAAGGGACGGCUAACUACGUG
This 497-nucleotide ribosomal RNA is filed under the name uncultured bacterium. RNAcentral's name for it is "partial 16S ribosomal RNA". It matches the Rfam family "Bacterial small subunit ribosomal RNA", at positions 28 to 507 of the family's 1533-position model. The record is from RNAcentral.